GUGAAUCAUCGAAUUUUUGAACGCAAAUUGCACUCUCUUUUGAGAGUAUGCCUGUUUGAGGGUCAGUAAUAAUAAAAUCGGGGGGUUGCUCUUUUGUUACACAACGGAGUUUGGGCUACCUUUGACUUUCGGGUUUAAGAGGCUUCAAUUUGAACUUUUUUGCGCACUUCUAGACGUACAUAAAUUUAUUUUUAUCGUCUAGUCGGUUGCCAUUUAUCUAUUAGGUGCGAUCAUGUUUAUAUGAUCUCGUGCCGGUAAUUCUCAUCUGUUGACUUCAAAUCAGGUA
RNAcentral lists this unclassified non-coding RNA (286 nucleotides) under Glomeraceae sp. RNAcentral's name for it is "partial contains 5.8S ribosomal RNA and internal transcribed spacer 2". The stretch from base 1 to 65 matches the Rfam family "5.8S ribosomal RNA", at positions 84 to 154 of the family's 154-position model. The record is from RNAcentral. Lineage: Eukaryota; Fungi; Glomeromycota; Glomeromycetes; Glomerales; Glomeraceae.